AUGAACGCUGGCGGCGUGCCUAACACAUGCAAGUCGAACGGAGUCCAGCCUUUAAGACCUUCGGGUCAAAGAGGGGAAGACUGAGUGGCGGACGGGUGAGUAACACGUGGGCAACCUGGCUCAUAGAGGGGGAUAACAGAGAGAAAUUUCUGCUAAUACCGUAUAAGCACACACUGCCGCAUGGCAGAGGGUGAAAAGAGAAUCGCUAUGAGAUGGACCCGCGUCUGAUUAGCCAGUUGGCAGGGUAAGAGCCUACCAAAGCGACGAUCAGUAGCCGAUCUGAGAGGAUGAACGGCCACAUUGGGACUGAGACACGGCCCAAACUCCUACGGGAGGCAGCAGUGGGGGAUAUUGCACAAUGGGGGGAACCCUGAUGCAGCGACGCCGCGUGAGUGAAGAAGUAUUUCGGUAUGUAAAGCUCUAUCAGCAGGGAAGAUAAUGACAGUACCUGAAUAAGAAGCCCCGGCUAACUACGUG
Molecule: ribosomal RNA, 477 nt
Filed under: uncultured bacterium
Lineage: Bacteria
Description: partial 16S ribosomal RNA
Rfam family: Bacterial small subunit ribosomal RNA
Source: RNAcentral